AUUGAACGCUGGCGGCAGGCCUAACACAUGCAAGUCGAGCGGAGCGGCGGACGGGUGAGUAAUGCCUAGGAAUCUGCCUGGUAGUGGGGGAUAACGUCCGGCAACGGGCGCUAAUACCUCAUACUUUCAGAUGAGCCUAGGUCGGAUUAGCUAGUUGGUGGGGUAAAGGCCUACCAAGGCGACGAUCCGUAACUGGGCUGAGAGGAGGAUCAGUCACACGGGAACGGAGACACGGUCCAGACGCCUACGGGAGGCAGCAGUGGGAAAUAGUGGACAAUGGGCGAAAGCCUGAUCCAGCCAGGCCGCGUGUGUGAAGAAGGUCUUCGGAUUGUAAAGCACUUUAAGUUGGGAGGCGUUACCAACAGAAUAAGCACCGGCUAACUUCGUGCCAGCCGCCGCGGUAAUAC
Molecule: ribosomal RNA, 407 nt
Filed under: uncultured bacterium
Lineage: Bacteria
Description: partial 16S ribosomal RNA
Rfam family: Bacterial small subunit ribosomal RNA
Source: RNAcentral